AUUUAUAUAGUUUAAAAAAAACAUUAUAUUUUCAAUAUAAAGACAGAAUUAUUUCUUAUAAAUU
RNAcentral lists this transfer RNA (64 nucleotides) under Enicmus brevicornis. Its description in RNAcentral is "tRNA-Glu". Lineage: Eukaryota; Metazoa; Arthropoda; Insecta; Coleoptera; Latridiidae. The record is from RNAcentral.